GACGAACGCUGGCGGCGUGCUUAACACAUGCAAGUCGAACGGAAAGGCCCUGCUUUUGUGGGGUGCUCGAGUGGCGAACGGGUGAGUAACACGUGAGUAACCUGCCCUUGACUUUGGGAUAACUUCAGGAAACUGGGGCUAAUACCGGAUAGGAGCUCCUGCUGCAUGGUGGGGGUUGGAAAGUUUCGGCGGUUGGGGAUGGACUCGCGGCUUAUCAGCUUGUUGGUGGGGUAGUGGCUUACCAAGGCUUUGACGGGUAGCCGGCCUGAGAGGGUGACCGGCCACAUUGGGACUGAGAUACGGCCCAGAGGCCUACGGGAGGCAGCAGUGGGGAAUAUUGCACAAUGGGCGGAAGCCUGAUGCAGCAACGCCGCGUGCGGGAUGACGGCCUUCGGGGUGUAAACCGCUUUCGCCUGUGACGAAGCGUGAGUGACGGUAAUGGGUAAAGAAGCACCGGCUAACUACG
This 466-nucleotide ribosomal RNA is filed under the name uncultured bacterium. Its description in RNAcentral is "partial 16S ribosomal RNA". It matches the Rfam family "Bacterial small subunit ribosomal RNA", at positions 28 to 505 of the family's 1533-position model. The record is from RNAcentral.